Non-coding RNA from Podarcis lilfordi (Lilford's wall lizard), 82 nucleotides. NCBI's taxonomy places the organism in Eukaryota, Metazoa, Chordata, Lepidosauria, Squamata, Lacertidae. The record is from the annotation of a GenBank genome assembly.
GCCUAGAUAGAUCAAUUGGUUAAGAGUGUGGUGCUGAUAAUGCCAAGGUUGUAGGUUGCAAGUUUGAUCCCCGUGCUGGACA